This 30-nucleotide non-coding RNA is filed under the name Cricetulus griseus (Chinese hamster). Lineage: Eukaryota; Metazoa; Chordata; Mammalia; Rodentia; Cricetidae. The record is from RNAcentral.
CUGAAAUUCUUAUUUGUUCUCUGUGGACAG